GGGCUGUUGGUGUAGUGGUAACAUAUCUGCCUUCCAUAAGCAGGUGCCAGGGGUUCAAUUCCCCUACAGCUCA
Molecule: transfer RNA, 73 nt
Filed under: Yarrowia lipolytica CLIB122
Lineage: Eukaryota; Fungi; Ascomycota; Dipodascomycetes; Dipodascales
Description: tRNA YALI0_B10648r
Rfam family: tRNA
About the family: Transfer RNA (tRNA) molecules are approximately 80 nucleotides in length.
Source: RNAcentral